CCGGCCCCUAGCCACAGUCAAAAAUUUGGUGUUACACGCCGCUUUCACAAGUACGUUUAGCCAGUAAAUUCACAACGUAGCUAACUGAAAUUCCCAAUUUCAUUAAAUUUCCGAUUCAUUAAUAUUUGCUACUGUAAGUUGCCAACAUUGUAAAACAGUAAAAUAUUUAAUAAAUAACAGCGUCUGUACAUUUAUAUACAACUCAGGAGUCAGGACUGUAGUCAAGUCUAUGCCUUGGACAAAAAAAAAUGCGAUUCUGUAUCAUUUUACUUUCAAAAUGAUGCCUACUGAUAUUGUGGUGGCAAAGACAUUCUUAUUUUGUGGAGGGAUAACUAAUGAUGCCUUGCCUGAUUUGUCGAUACAUCAAACCUCUGAAGCUCCCUGACUUUCUUGCAUCACCAAGACCUCUCUAUUUUCAUACGUCCAGAAACCAUUCAAGUCAAUCAAAAUACUCGCUACUGUCUCUCCUUGACCACU
This is a non-coding RNA of Paramuricea clavata, 477 nucleotides long. NCBI's taxonomy places the organism in Eukaryota, Metazoa, Cnidaria, Anthozoa, Malacalcyonacea, Plexauridae. The record is from the annotation of a GenBank genome assembly.